GACGACUUCUUCUGUUUUGAAAUCUCGGGGUUCGACUUCACGUUCGAUAUUAUCUCGCUACUUGAUUGACUAGGGAAAUAAGGCAAGUAUGUUCGAAAUAUGGCAGGCCGACUCGUUUUAUUUCAUCUGCUAGAUGAUAUUGAAGAUAAAGAAAAUAGAAGUUGCCGUCGUCGAUCACCCAUUUUUAGAAGGGAACAAAAUGCCUUCGAAUUGAAUGAUAGAGAGUUUGUAAAAUUAUUUCGGUUAAAUAAAGACUUAGUCUUAUUUCUAUGUGAAGAGUUAACAGCUGAAUUAGAACCCAAAAUUACUUGAGAAAAUGCC
This 321-nucleotide long non-coding RNA is filed under the name Androctonus crassicauda. The record is from RNAcentral. Lineage: Eukaryota; Metazoa; Arthropoda; Arachnida; Scorpiones; Buthidae.